Molecule: long non-coding RNA, 309 nt
Filed under: Mytilus galloprovincialis (Mediterranean mussel)
Lineage: Eukaryota; Metazoa; Mollusca; Bivalvia; Mytilida; Mytilidae
Source: RNAcentral
AUGGUUUCUGACCGUUUCGUCUUAUGAUUCAUAAUAUUUGGUCCUAGUACAUUUUGUAUGGCUCUAAUUCCCAGCGUUUCACUUCUAUUUUUUUGUUUUGUCGGCUUUACAUUGAAAUAAUGUUUUUUACUGCUGCGUAUCGCCUUCGUUACUCCUUUCCUCUAGUAUUAAUCGAAAGAUAUAUAUGAGACACUCUUCAAUUCAAAGCUAUGAUAGAUAACGAAAAUGUAAUGACAAUAAUUACUGAAUCAUCCAGAUUGUAUAAUGUGUUCUCUAAGAUAAAUUGCAUUCGACCUGUCUAAAAGCACG